CUACGGGGGGCUGCAGUGGGGAAUAUUGGGCAAUGGGCGCAAGCCUGACCCAGCAACGCCGCGUGAGGGAAGAAUGUCUUCGGAUUGUAAACCUCUGUCCUUAGGGACGAAAAAAAUGACGGUACCUAAGGAGGAAGCUCCGGCUAAGCUACGUGCCAGCAGCCGCGGUAAUACGUAGGGAGCAAGCGUUGUCCGGAAUUAUUGGGCGUAAAGGGUGCGUAGGCGGUAAUCCAAGUCAGAUGUGAAAGACCCGGGCUUAACUCGGGAGGUGCAUUUGAAACUGGGUUACUUGAGUACAGGAGAGGUAAGUGGAAUUCCUAGUGUAGCGGUGAAAUGCGUAGAUAUUAGGAGGAACACCAGUGGCGAAGGCGACUUACUGGACUGUCACUGACGCUGAGGCACGAAAGCGUGGGGAGCAAACAGGAUUAGAUACCCGCGUAGUC
RNAcentral lists this ribosomal RNA (443 nucleotides) under uncultured bacterium. RNAcentral's name for it is "partial 16S ribosomal RNA". It matches the Rfam family "Bacterial small subunit ribosomal RNA", at positions 339 to 795 of the family's 1533-position model. The record is from RNAcentral.